CCGACCUUAGCUCAGUUGGUAGAGCGGAGGACUGUAGUAUGAGAGCUGAAAUCCUUAGGUCGCUGGUUCGAAUCCGGCAGGUCGGA
RNAcentral lists this transfer RNA (86 nucleotides) under Salvia splendens (bonfire salvia). It matches the Rfam family "tRNA". From Rfam's summary of the family: Transfer RNA (tRNA) molecules are approximately 80 nucleotides in length. Their secondary structure includes four short double-helical elements and three loops (D, anti-codon, and T loops). The record is from Rfam by way of RNAcentral. Lineage: Eukaryota; Viridiplantae; Streptophyta; Magnoliopsida; Lamiales; Lamiaceae.